UAUCACAGGAACUGGAUAAUGGACAUCCACAGAUUAAUACAUACCAUACGAAACGUAACAUCAUACUAAAUGGAGUGUUUCAGAUUUACGUACAGAAUAAUAAGAAAUGCUCUGAGACCAGGUUGAGCCUGUGGGUGGGAGUGUUUCUGGUCUUACCUGCAAUAUUUGCUUCACUAAAAUAUUGCAUAUAAGUCGAAUAUUAAGAAAGCAGAAUUUGACAUGAAGACCACAGCCAACCUUGUGCUGCUUGUUCUUCUCCCACAGAAUCUACAUUGAUUUAAUCUGCUCUGUCCUUUCACACAGAACCCUCAUGUUUGGUCCAGUGCCGUGUAGAUUACCAGGAGGCAUCAAGACGUGCAUCCUUCGACCAGUAGCCAGGGUUUUCACCAGCAGCGACAGAAUGGCCAAGAGCAAGUUUCAGUACGUCUGUAACUUCGAGACAGACGGCACCUGUCUGAAAAACUGUUACAUCGUGGUGCGGUUGGAUGGGAGGAACUUCCACAAGUUUGCAGAGCAGCACAACUUCCUGAAGCCCAACGACGACAGAGCUCUGGGUCUGAUGACGUGCAGCGCCAGGUCUGUCAUGGAGGACCUGGAUGACAUCAUCAUCUCGUACGGACAGAGUGACGAGUUCAGCUUCGUCCUCAAGAGGACCUCUGGUUCAAAAGGAGAGCCAGGUCAGUCAACAACCUGUAUAACACAGUGUUUUGGACGUUGGUGCAGAAAGGCGGACUCACCACUACACAGGCAGAGGACCGACUAAAGAGAACAUUGGCUGCAGAUAAGAAUGAAAUACUGUUUUCUGAGUUUGAUAUCAAUUACAACAAGGAGCCUCUGGUCCACAGGAAAGGAACAGCCCUAAUCUGAGAAGCUGGAAGAAACAGUGACCACGAGUGUGAAGCUCCCCAACAAGGAGGAGGAGGAGCCAGUGCCACGAACCAGGAGGCGUGUCAGUGCCCACCGCUGUGACGUCAUAGGGGACGAGUUCUGGGAGGAACACCCCAACAUUCUAGAAGACGACUGCUGAAAACGUUUCCUAGAGGAGCAGAAACCUGCACAGUGGUUAACGUUGAACAUGGACAGAGUCUAGGGCGAGUUUGUUGUACUUCUAUGCUCCUGCUGUGGGAUGGAGAGGGUUGGAAGCUGUCAGGGACUGUAUGGAUACUCUUAAUCACUAACUCUUGAUUGGAACAAACUGUCAGCGGUGGCAUAACUCAAACACCAUCAUGCUCUUUGCUCAUGUACUGUAUACAAAUAUUUUAAAUACGGCCUGUCUUAUGUCUGGAACCAUUAAACCAAGAGAAUGUGUAUUGUUGAUGAUGUUUUGCCGGUGGUGAUGCUGGCAUAUUAUAUCAUCAUAAUAAACUAGUAGGCUUACUGUUGGGU
Molecule: RNA transcript, 1386 nt
Organism: Salvelinus namaycush (lake trout)
Lineage: Eukaryota; Metazoa; Chordata; Actinopteri; Salmoniformes; Salmonidae
Gene name: probable tRNA(His) guanylyltransferase
Exons: 5
Source: RefSeq, a predicted model, not a curated record